GACGAACGCUGGCGGCGUGCUUAACACAUGCAAGUCGAGCGGAAAGGCCCUUCGGGGUACUCGAGCGGCGAACGGGUGAGUAACACGUGAGUAACCUGCCCCAGACUUUGGGAUAACCCUCGGAAACGGGGGCUAAUACCGGAUACGACACAGCUUCGCAUGGGGUCUGUGUGGAAAGUUUUUCGGUUUGGGUUGGGCUCGCGGCCUAUCAGCUUGUUGGUGGGGUGAUGGCCUACCAAGGCGACGACGGGUAGCCGGCCUGAGAGGGCGACCGGCCACACUGGGACUGAGACACGGCCCAGACUCCUACGGGAGGCAGCAGUGGGGAAUAUUGCACAAUGGGCGGAAGCCUGAUGCAGCGACGCCGCGUGAGGGAUGACGGCCUUCGGGUUGUAAACCUCUUUCAGCAGGGACGAAGCGUAAGUGACGGUACCUGCAGAAGAAGCGCCGGCCAACUACGUG
This 462-nucleotide ribosomal RNA is filed under the name uncultured bacterium. Its description in RNAcentral is "partial 16S ribosomal RNA". It matches the Rfam family "Bacterial small subunit ribosomal RNA", at positions 28 to 507 of the family's 1533-position model. The record is from RNAcentral.